RNAcentral lists this ribosomal RNA (1426 nucleotides) under Bacteroides thetaiotaomicron. RNAcentral describes it as "16S ribosomal RNA". It matches the Rfam family "Bacterial small subunit ribosomal RNA". Lineage: Bacteria; Pseudomonadati; Bacteroidota; Bacteroidia; Bacteroidales; Bacteroidaceae. The record is from RNAcentral.
UUUGAUCAUGGCUCAGGAUGAACGCUAGUACAGGCUUAACACAUGCAAGUCGAGGGGCAGCAUUUCAGUUUGCUUGCAAACUGGAGAUGGCGACCGGCGCACGGGUGAGUAACACGUAUCCAACCUGCCGAUAACUCGGGGAUAGCCUUUCGAAAGAAAGAUUAAUACCCGAUGGUAUAAUCAGACCGCAUGGUUUGUUAUUAAAGAAUUUCGGUUAUCGAUGGGGAUGCGUUCCAUUAGGCAGUUGGUGAGGUAACGGCUCACCAAACCUUCGAUGGAUAGGGGUUCUGAGAGGAAGGUCCCCCACAUUGGAACUGAGACACGGUCCAAACUCAUACGGGAGGCAGCAGUGAGGAAUAUUGGUCAAUGGGCGCAGGCCUGAACCAGCCAAGUAGCGUGAAGGAUGACUGCCCUAUGGGUUGUAAACUUCUUUUAUAUGGGAAUAAAGUUUUCCACGUGUGGAAUUUUGUAUGUACCAUAUGAAUAAGGAUCGGCUAACUCCGUGCCAGCAGCCGCGGUAAUACGGAGGAUCCGAGCGUUAUCCGGAUUUAUUGGGUUAAAAGGGAGCGUAGGUGGACAGUUAAGUCAGUUGUGAAAGUUUGCGGCUCAACCGUAAAAUUGCAGUUGAUACUGGCUGUCUUGAGUACAGUAGAGGUGGGCGGAAUUCGUGGUGUAGCGGUGAAAUGCUUAGAUAUCACAAAGAACUCCGAUUGCGAAGGCAGCUCACUGGACUGCAACUGACACUGAUGCUCGAAGUGUGGGUAUCAAGCAGGAUUAGAUACCCUGGUAGUCCACACAGUAAACAAUGACUACUCGCUGUUAUGCGAUAUACAGUAGGCGGCCAAGCGAAAGCAUUAACUAUUCCACCUAGGGGAGUACGCCGGAAACGGUUAAACUCCAAAUGAAUUGACGGGGGCCCGCACAAGCGAGAGACAUGUGGUUUAAUUCGAUGAUACGCGAGGAACUUACCCGGGCUUAAAUUGCAUUUGAAUAUAUUGGAAACAGUAUAGCCGCAAGGCAAAUGUGAAGGUGCUGCAUGGUUGUCGUCAGCUCGUGCCGUGAGGUGUCGGCUUAAGUGCCAUAACGAGCGCAACCCUUAUCUUUAGUUACUAACAGGUCAUGCUGAGGACUCUAGAGAGACUGCCGUCGUAAGAUGUGAGGAAGGUGGGGAUGACGUCAAAUCAGCACGGCCCUUACGUCCGGGGCUACACACGUGUUACAAUGGGGGGUACAGAAGGCAGCUACCUGGUGACAGGAUGCUAAUCCCAAAAGCCUCUCUCAGUUCGGAUCGAAGUCUGCAACCCGACUUCGUGAAGCUGGAUUCGCUAGUAAUCGCGCAUCAGCCAUGGCGCGGUGAAUACGUUCCCGGGCCUUGUACACACCGCCCGUCAAGCCAUGAAAGCCGGGGGUACCUGAAGUACGUAAC